This 238-nucleotide ribosomal RNA is filed under the name uncultured bacterium. Its description in RNAcentral is "partial 16S ribosomal RNA". It matches the Rfam family "Bacterial small subunit ribosomal RNA", at positions 104 to 334 of the family's 1533-position model. The record is from RNAcentral.
UGGCGGGACGGGGUGGGGUAAGUGUCUGGGAAACUGCCUGAUGGAGGGGGAUAACUACUGGAAACGGUAGCUAAUACCGCAUAACGUCGCAAGACCAAAGAGGGGGACCUCGGGCCUCUUGCCAUCGGAUGUGCCCAGAUGGGAUUAGCUAGUAGGUGGGGUAACGGCUCACCUAGGCGACGAUCCCUAGCUGGUCUGAGAGGAUGACCAGCCACACUGGAACUGAGACACGGUCCAG